UCCGCCAAGAAACAUGCGCGGUCGAUUUCGGUAGUUUCCGGUAUUUUCCCGGAAAUCUCCGAUUCCAUUUAUUGCUGGUUUGUAUCACUUAAUUAUUUUGUUUUUCUUUAAUUAAUGCUAUUUUGGCAAAAACAAGAUUAACGUGCAUCUAAAAUAAUAACAUGAUGGGAAAAUUAUGAUAUUACAAAGUUCUAUAAAUAAAAAAUGUGCGGUGGCGCUAAUUAGCACGUGAUGCAAACAAACCGUUCAACAACAACAACAACAUGAGGAAACAUGCGUGAAAAGGCAAACAAACAAUAUUUGUAAACACGAGAACAACUGCUGGCGGUACACAUUAUAAGAAGAUCACUUUAUUGGACGAGAAGUUGUUACGCCUACAAAUUUCAGGCGUUGCAUCUUGAAGACAGCGAUCACUUCAUGAUCAUUCUCACAGGAAAGUGAAAAGAAAAUGGCCAACAGGGAGUGUAUAUUGGGAAAAUUGAAACCUUUCAAAGCAACUGAUGAGUACUACAAUCUUCUGCCAGAGGACGAAGCAGCAACCCCCAAGUCAUUCACAAGAUUAAAAAAGGGCUAUGAAUUGUUUUUAUGCCCCCGAAGGGAGGCAUGUAGUUUUUGAACCGUCUGUCGGUCCGUCGGUCUGUCUGUCCGCAAUUUUCGUGUCCGGUCCAUAUCUUUGUCAUCGAUGGAUGGAUUUUCAAAUAACUUGGCAUGAAUGUGUACCACAGUAAGACGACGUGUCGCGCGCAAGACCCAGGUCCGUAGCUCAAAGGUCAAGGUCACACUUAGACAUUAAAGGAUAGUGCAUUGAUGGGCGUGUCCGGUCCAUAUCUUUGUCAUCGAUGGAUGGAUUUUCAAAUAACUUGGCAUGAAUGUGUACCACAGUAAGACGACGUGUCGUGCGCAAGACCCAGGUCCGUAGCUCAAAGGUCAAGGUCACACUUAGACAUUAAAGGAUAGUGCAUUGAUGGGCGUGUCCGGUCCAUAUCUUUGUCAUCGAUGGAUGGAUUUUCAAAUAACUUGGCAUGAAUGUGUACCACAGUAAGACGACGUGUCGCGCGCAAGACCCAGGUCCGUAGCUCAAAGGUCAAGGUCACACUUAGACGUUAAAGGUCAUUUUUCAUGAUAGUGCAUUGAUAGGCGUGUCCGGUCCAUAUCUUUGUCAUUCAUGCAUGGAUUUUAAAAUAUCUACGCAUGAAUGUGUGACACAGUAAGACGACGUGUCGCGCGCAAGACCCAGUUCCGUAGGUCAAAGGUCCUAAACUCUAACAUCGGCCAUAACUAUAUAUUCGUUCAAAGUGCCAUCGGGGGCAUGUGUCAUCCUAUGGAGACAGCUCUUGUUUUUUUCUUUUUUUGGC
Long non-coding RNA from Mercenaria mercenaria, 1355 nucleotides. RefSeq lists it as uncharacterized. NCBI's taxonomy places the organism in Eukaryota, Metazoa, Mollusca, Bivalvia, Venerida, Veneridae. The transcript has 3 exons. The record is from RefSeq and is a predicted model, not a curated record.